This 74-nucleotide transfer RNA is filed under the name Cubanichthys cubensis (Cuban killifish). RNAcentral describes it as "tRNA-Trp". It matches the Rfam family "tRNA". From Rfam's summary of the family: Transfer RNA (tRNA) molecules are approximately 80 nucleotides in length. Their secondary structure includes four short double-helical elements and three loops (D, anti-codon, and T loops). The record is from RNAcentral. Lineage: Eukaryota; Metazoa; Chordata; Actinopteri; Cyprinodontiformes; Cyprinodontidae.
GAGAUUUAGGAUAGGAAUGGAUAGACCAAAGGCCUUCAAAGCCCUAAGCGGGAGUUAAAAUCUCCCAAUCUCCG